This 374-nucleotide ribosomal RNA is filed under the name uncultured bacterium. RNAcentral's name for it is "bacterial SSU rRNA". It matches the Rfam family "Bacterial small subunit ribosomal RNA", at positions 28 to 404 of the family's 1533-position model. The record is from RNAcentral.
GACGAACGCUGGCGGCGUGCUUAACACAUGCAAGUCGAGCGGUAAGGCCCUUUCGGGGGUACACGAGCGGCGAACGGGUGAGUAACACGUGGGUGACCUGCCCUCAGCUCUGGGAUAAGCCUGGGAAACCGGGUCUAAUACUGGAUAUGACUCCAUGACGCAUGUUGUGGGUGGAAAGCCUUGUGCGGCUGAGGAUGGGCCCGCGGCCUAUCAGCUUGUUGGUGGGGUGAUGGCCUACCAAGGCGACGACGGGUAGCCGGCCUGAGAGGGCGACCGGCCACACUGGGACUGAGACACGGCCCAGACUCCUACGGGAGGCAGCAGUGGGGAAUCUUGCGCAAUGGGCGAAAGCCUGACGCAGCGACGCCGCGUGA